GCCUAAAGCGUCCGUAGCCGGCUUUGUAAGUUUUCGGUUAAAUCUAUAUGCUCAACAUAUAGGCUGCCGGAAAUACUGCAAAGCUAGGGAGUGGGAGAGGUAGACGGUAUUCGGUAGGAAGGGGUAAAAUCCUUUGAUCUAUCGAGGACCACCUGUGGCGAAGGCGGUCUACCAGAACACGUUCGACGGUGAGGGAUGAAAGCUGGGGGAGCAAACCGGAUUAGAUACCCGGGUAGUCCCAGCUGUAAACGAUGCAGACUCGGUGAUGCGCUGGCUUGUGGCCAGUGCAGUGCCGCAGGGAAGCCGUUAAGUUUGCCGCCUGGGAAGUACGUACGCAAGUAUGAAACUUAAAGGAAUUGGCGGGGGAGCACCACAAGGGGUGAAGCCUGCGGUUCAAUUGGAGUCAACGCCAGAAAUCUUACCCGAAGAGACAGCAGAAUGAAGGUCAAGCUGGAGACUUUACCAGACAAGCUGAGAAGUGGUGCAUGGCCGUCGCCAGCUCGUGCCGUGAGAUGUCCUGUUAAGUCAGGUAACGAGCGAGAUCCCUGCCUCUAGUUGCCACCAUUACUCUCAGGAGUAGUGGGGCGAAUUAGCGGGACCGCCGCAGUUAAUGCGGAGGAAGGAAGGGGCCACGGCAGGUCAGUAUGCCCCGAA
Molecule: ribosomal RNA, 654 nt
Filed under: uncultured archaeon
Lineage: Archaea
Description: bacterial SSU rRNA
Rfam family: Archaeal small subunit ribosomal RNA
Source: RNAcentral